AGGGCCAUCAGAAGUCGGCGACAUGAUUUAGAUUCAAUUUGGAUCGAAGAAGUCCCAUUAGAUUGACUCUAUUUCAGUUAUUUAUUUUCAAUCAAUAAAGUAUCUUGAUGUAUUUUAUUUUGGAUCCAUAGGACCAUACUUGGAUUUGUAUUGGGUUUGUCCACGUCAUUUUUGGGGCCACAACUCUCCACACGCCUAGGAAAG
This 204-nucleotide long non-coding RNA is filed under the name Elaeis guineensis (African oil palm). RNAcentral's name for it is "long non-coding RNA (EGUI_LNC016784)". The record is from RNAcentral. Lineage: Eukaryota; Viridiplantae; Streptophyta; Magnoliopsida; Arecales; Arecaceae.